Non-coding RNA from Paramuricea clavata, 681 nucleotides. The record is from the annotation of a GenBank genome assembly. NCBI's taxonomy places the organism in Eukaryota, Metazoa, Cnidaria, Anthozoa, Malacalcyonacea, Plexauridae.
CCACCCAGCAACACUACACCACUACACCCGCCAACGACCACAAUACCAGCUCUAACCAGCAUCAUGCAUUCCUCCAUCAAGCAACGACUGAUGGGGAAACAAACACAGUUCCCCACCAUAUACAACAUGUUCAUGAAUGGAAGACAAUAGAUUUUUCCUCCAUUAACAACCACCACCAAUUCAAUGUAAAUAGUCUAGGCCUGUACAUAUGAUAAUCCACACACUACAUAUAGUUUAAUUAAUACACAAUUGUCACAUAAAGAUAUGCAGUUACAGAAUAUUCAUUAAAUUCAUCAACAUUAUAAAGUUGUACAGUUGUUUAAUUCAUACAUAUCCACCCUAAACCCAGACCCAAUUAAAACCCACCUGAAGUUUAUCAUGACCAACCAGCAUAACACCAUACGAACGCCUCACCAUUCAGCUUUCAAAGAACGAGAAAUAAAAGGCAAAAAUGUCUGUCGCGGGCUCGGCCACAGAGCAAAUAUCAAAACAUUAAUAUGCAUCUCAACCACCAUAUUUCACCGUUUUAAUUAAUACAAACACCGAGAAAUAUUAAACUGACAGACAAAUUUCGUAGCAGAAAACUUUUUGUCACAAACUGUGCCACGGAGCAUUCACACUACUUAACACUCACCACCGUCACAUCCAUUUCGAACUACCGUUCACCUUUCAAAGAACGAG